UUGUGUGAUGCUGAGGAUACGAUUGAUCCCAUCACCCAGAAAUAGAGUGCUACCUCUCAGACAGCCUGCCCAACCCUGCCCUCUGAUCAGGACUUGGAAAUAGAAGAUGGACAAGUCUUUUGGUUGACGUAGUCCUUAACCAGGAGUGGAAAGCUAAGCUAAAAUGAAUUGCUCCAAAGUAUCUUCCUGUUCUACUGUCCACAUCUUGUAAAACGGUCCUAUUUUAAAAAAUGUAGAUAGUUAAGCCAUUACCCAAUACUCAUGUUGAGAGAGAGAGAGAGAGAGAGAGAGAGAGAGAUUUAGCUAGAAACCAUUAUAAAUUGUAUAUAAAUAAUGCAAAGGUAUGCUAUUACUGGACCUUUUUGUUUCCAGGCCCUUAUCCCAUUCAAGCAAAUGCUACAUUUCCAUUGUAACAUUCAAAAUGGUACAGAGCUAUCUACAGAAACAUGCCUCCCAUACACAUCUAAUUCCGUCUUCUAAGGUAACUAAGAUUGUCAAUUUAGUAUGUGUCCUUCCACAUAUUUUUCAUUUGGUGUGUAUGUGUGUUUGGGGUGCUUUAUUUAUGAUAUUGAGUUUCAAUAUUAUUAUGCAUGUUUCUUUUCCAGCUUUCACUUUUUUCUUCUUUUUGUAGUUUUUACUAAUGUCUGAAACAUGUCAGUACUAGAAUUCCUAGCAGGUAUUAUAUGUUUGAAAACUUUCUUCCUCCGUCAUUAAACACUAAUUGUGACAUAUUUCGCCCCACCUUGAAGCCCUUCAGUCAACUAGAAAAUCAAAUAGGAUUAUAAUCCCUUCACUUUAAAGAAUGCCAUUUCACACAAUAACAACUUGCAACACCCAGACAAGUCUGAUCAGGUUCUCUCUCCCUGUCUCCCUCUCUCUUUGUCUCUCUUUGCUUCUGUCCCUUCUGUGCAGAGACCAUGGUUUAACAUGUAAACUCCAACAAAUUGUAUUUUGUAAAUUUUGGGUACCAAAUAAAUAGUUGUCAAAAUGAAUGAAUGAAUUUCUCAUGACAUUCAUCCUAUUCCAGCUUUCUUUACGGAUUACAAAAUCAACGAUAUUCUGUGGAUCUAUAUUAUAUUCCUUUGAUGAUCAUCAAUGCUUAAAAUAUUAUCUAAAGAACUCCAUAUUAAUACAAUGCAAA
RNAcentral lists this long non-coding RNA (1141 nucleotides) under Homo sapiens (human). RNAcentral describes it as "HSALNT0125097". The record is from RNAcentral. Lineage: Eukaryota; Metazoa; Chordata; Mammalia; Primates; Hominidae.